This 514-nucleotide ribosomal RNA is filed under the name uncultured marine eukaryote. RNAcentral's name for it is "SSU rRNA". It matches the Rfam family "Eukaryotic small subunit ribosomal RNA", at positions 613 to 1132 of the family's 1831-position model. The record is from RNAcentral.
UUGCAGUUAAAAAGCUCGUAGUUGGAUUUCGGAGUGGGCCAGUUGGUCCGCCGCAAGGUGUGUUACUGACUGGUUUGCUCUUCUUCGCAAAGACUGCGUGUGCUCUUUAUUGAGUGUGCGUAGGAUUUACGACGUUUACUUUGAAAAAAUUAGAGUGUUCAAAGCAGGCUAUUGCUUGAAUACAUGAGCAUGGAAUAAUGGAAUAGGAUUUUGGUCCCAUUUUGUUGGUUUCUAGGACCGAAGUAAUGAUUAAGAGGGACAAUUGGGGGCAUCCGUAUUUCGUUGUCAGAGGUGAAAUUCUUGGAUUUACGAAAGACGAACAACUGCGAAAGCACUUGCCAAGAGUGUUUUCAUUAAUCAAGAACGAAAGUUAGAGGAUCGAAGACGAUCAGAUACCGUCCUAGUUCUAACCAUAAACGAUGUCGACUAGGGAUCAGCGGGCGUUAUCGUACGACCCCGUUGGCACCUUACGGGAAACCAAAGUUUCCUGGAUUCCGGGGGGAAGUAUAGUCGC